UUAAGUGACGAAGCGUAUACGGUGGAUGCCUUGGCAGUUAGAGGCGAUGAAGGACGUGUAAGUCUGCGAAAAGCUGUGGUGAGCCGACAAAAUGCAUUUGAGCCACAGAUGUCCGAAUGGGGAAACCCACCUGUUUACAGGUAUCGUUGCGUGAAUACAUAGCGUAACGAGGCGAACGAGGGGAACUGAAACAUCUAAGUACCCUUAGGAAAAGAAAUCAAACGAGAUUCCCCUAGUAGCGGCGAGCGAACGGGGAACAGCCCUUAAGCUGUUUAGUGUGUAGUGGAAUCCUUUGGGAAGAGGAGCGAUACAGGGUGAUAGCCCCGUACACAAAGCGUGCUUUACAGUGAAAUCGAGUAGGUCGGGACACGUGUUAUCUUGACUGAAUAUGGGGGGACCAUCCUCCAAGGCUAAAUACUCCUAACUGACCGAUAGUGAACCAGUACCGUGAGGGAAAGGCGAAAAGAACCCCUGUGAGGGGAGUGAAAUAGAACCUGAAACCGUAUACGUACAAGCAGUGGGAGCCCUUCGGGGUGACUGCGUACCUUUUGUAUAAUGGGUCAGCGACUUAUAUUUAGUAGCAAGGUUAAGCGAAUAGCGGAGCCGUAGCGAAAGCGAGUGUUAACUGCGCGUUKAGUUGCUAGGUAUAGACCCGAAACCCGGUGAUCUAGCCAUGAGCAGGUUGAAGGUUGAGUAACAUCAACUGGAGGACCGAACCCACUGACGUUGAAAAGUCAGGGGAUGACUUGUGGCUGGGGGUGAAAGGCCAAUCAAACCGGGAGAUAGCUGGUUCUCCCCGAAAUCUAUUUAGGUAGAGCCUCGGAYGAAUUCCAUUGGGGGUAGAGCACUGUUAAGGCUAGGGGGUCAUCCCGACUUACCAACCCUUUGCAAACUCCGAAUACCAAUGAGAACUAUCCGGGAGACACACGGCGGGUGCUAACGUCCGUCGUGGAGAGGGAAACAACCCAGACCGCCAGCUAAGGUCCCAAAAUAUUGCUAAGUGGGAAACGAUGUGGGAAGGCACAGACAGCUAGGAGGUUGGCUUAGAAGCAGCCACCCUUUAAAGAAAGCGUAAUAGCUCACUAGUCGAGUCGGCCUGCGCGGAAGAUGUAACGGGGCUAAGCAAUAUACCGAAGCUGCGGCAGCAUGUUUACAUGCUGGGUAGGGGAGCGUUGUGUAAGUGGAUGAAGGUGAGUUGUAAAGCUUGCUGGACAUAUCACAAGUGCGAAUGCUGACAUGAGUAACGAUAAUGGGAGUGAAAAACUCCCACGCCGGAAGACCAAGGUUUCCUGUCCCAUGCUAAUCAGGGCAGGGUAAGUCGGCCCCUAAGGCGAGGCAGAAAUGCGUAGUCGAUGGGAAACGGAUUAAUAUUUCCGUACUUAUAUAAUCAGUGAUGGAGGGACGGAGAAGGCUAGGCAAGCUUGGCGUUGGUUGUCCAAGUGAAAGUGUGUAGGCUGAAAACUUAGGUAAAUCCGGGUUUUCAAGGCCGAGACACGAGACGAGCUCCCAAGGGAGUGAAGUUGUUGAUGCCCUGCUUCCAGGAAAAGCUUCUAAACUUAUGAUUAUAUGAACCGUACCCCAAACCGACACAGGUGGUCAGGUAGAGAAUACUAAGGCGCUUGAGAGAACUCGGGUGAAGGAACUCGGCAAAAUUGUACCGUAACUUCGGGAGAAGGUACGCCUCUGUUUGUGAACACUUUACGUGGUAAGCAAAUGGAGGCCGCAGUGACCAGGUGGCUGGGACUGUUUAUUAAAAACACAGCACUCUGCAAACUCGUAAGAGGACGUAUAGGGUGUGACACCUGCCCGGUGCCGGAAGGUUAAUUGAUGGGGUUAGUUUUCGGACGAAGCUCUUGAUCGAAGCCCCGGUAAACGGCGGCCGUAACUAUAACGGUCCUAAGGUAGCGAAAUUCCUUGUCGGGUAAGUUCCGACCUGCACGAAUGGUGUAACCAUGGCCACGCUGUCUCCACCCGAGACUCAGUGAAAUUGAAAUCGCAGUGAAGAUGCUGUGUACCCGCACCUAGACGGAAAGACCCCGUGAACCUUUACUACAGCUUGGCACUGAACAUUGAACCUACAUGUGUAGGAUAGGUGGGAGGCUUYGAAGCACAGUCGCUAGAUUGUGUGGAGCCGUCCUUGAAAUACCACCCUUGUAUGUUUGAUGUUCUAACAUUGGCCCCUUAUCGGGGUUGUGGACAGUGUCUGGUGGGUAGUUUGACUGGGGCGGUCUCCUCCCAAAUAGUAACGGAGGAGCACGAAGGUUAGCUAAUCACGGUCGGACAUCGUGAGGUUAGUGCAAUGGCAUAAGCUAGCUUAACUGCGAGACAGACACGUCGAGCAGGUACGAAAGUAGGUCAUAGUGAUCCGGUGGUUCUGUAUGGAAGGGCCAUCGCUCAACGGAUAAAAGGUACUCCGGGGAUAACAGGCUGAUACCGCCCAAGAGUUCAUAUCGACGGCGGUGUUUGGCACCUCGAUGUCGGCUCAUCACAUCCUGGGGCUGAAGUCGGUCCCAAGGGUAUGGCUGUUCGCCAUUUAAAGUGGUACGCGAGCUGGGUUUAGAACGUCGUGAGACAGUUCGGUCCCUAUCUGGUGUGGGCGUUGGAUGAUUGAUGGGAGCUGCUCCUAGUACGAGAGGACCGGAGUGGACGAACCGCUGGUGUUCGGGUUGUCAUGCCAAUGGCAUUGCCCGGUAGCUAUGUUCGGAACGGAUAACCGCUGAAAGCAUCUAAGCGGGAAGCCGGCCCAAAGAUGAGUCAUCCCUGACCUUUAAGGUCUGGAAGGGUUGUUAUAGACGAUGACGUUGAUAGGCAGGGUGUGGAAGCGUUGUAAGGCGUUAAGCUAACCUGUACUAAUUGCCCGAGAGGCUUAACCAU
Molecule: ribosomal RNA, 2874 nt
Filed under: Alteromonas mediterranea U4
Lineage: Bacteria; Pseudomonadati; Pseudomonadota; Gammaproteobacteria; Alteromonadales; Alteromonadaceae
Description: bacterial LSU rRNA
Rfam family: Bacterial large subunit ribosomal RNA
Source: RNAcentral